AUGCGAAUUCUUUGCUCCUUGAGUCCUUGUAGCAAAAUAUGCCACAUUUGGUACAAUAUGCUAGAUUUGCUACUUUAUGCGAUCUUGAGUCGCGGACACUCUCUUCUCGGGUCAAAUUUUCGCCCCGUGUUUGGAUGAGCAUUUUCCUUCCGGGCUAAGUUUGGAAGUGUUCCCUGACCGAGCGUGCCGUGUACGUCUUGUGGAGCCCUCGUGGGACGUCCGGUGCCCACCCUCCAGCUCAAGAUUGUGCUUCCCUGGUGCAUGAAGGCCGAAGCAGUACGCGUACAGACGUUAUUGUUGAACAGAACAUCAUGUUCACAUUAAUUUUGUUCCUUUUUUCAGUCGUUGCAUGUUAUACUUAUAGUGGACCUACAGCAGACUGCUCAUCUGGUUUGUGAUAAUUCCUUCCUCUGUUUGUGAGUCCCUUUCCAUCAAUAUGGCAGCUUGUUUUGAUUUCCUUUUUUUCAAUUCAUUUUGCUGUACUUCCUGUUUUGUUUGCGCCACUGCCCCUCACCUUGCGCUCAGUUCUAUGAGUGGAGGGCGGCGUGACCCCAAGGGGUAGCUGAUUGAUAGUAGUAGUAGUA
Long non-coding RNA from Sycon ciliatum, 584 nucleotides. RefSeq lists it as uncharacterized. The transcript has 2 exons. NCBI's taxonomy places the organism in Eukaryota, Metazoa, Porifera, Calcarea, Leucosolenida, Sycettidae. The record is from RefSeq and is a predicted model, not a curated record.